CCCAUCUUGUCUGUUUUUCUCACCUUUAAUUUUUGUUUUUUAGAAAGUAUAAAGUUUUUACAAAAAAAUGUCCAUCUUCUCCCCCAAAUCUUUUAGUCGAAAAGGAUUUUUUUUUGGGGGCAAUUUUUUAGCAUGUAUUUACUCUUAUGCAUUUCGACAGGCAAGAAGAAAGUCAAGUUUACAAAAUUAUCUAAGUCCAAGAUUAGAGCAGGAAGCUUUCACAAGGUUGGUUUUCAACAGAUUCUUUGAUUUUCAACCCAGUUCAAAUCCUUCUCGAAAAGGCAAAAUCAAAUGUCCUAACACAUUGAAGGCAUGUUAAAGCUGUCGAAAAGAUGUAGUUUUUAGCCGUUAGUCUGUUAGUUAUUUUCUCUUAUGUAUAUAUAGUAGUUUUUCAUAGGGAAAACAAGUGACAAAUCAUUAUCAAAAGUUCUUACACAAGAAUUAUCCAGGAACACAGAGAGAAAAGAGUCAAAAUGUAUCUAACAUGAUUUGAUGUACCAUUUCCAUUUCAGCAAUGCAAUUUACUUUCUUUUUAGUUUAUUUGCCUUUAGAAUUCUAAGUCUUUUAGUUUUGAAUCUUCAAACACAUUGUUGAUUCUUAUCGAAGACAAUUAUCUUCACCAUAAAACAGUUUCCUUCAUCUUGUUCAUAAACAAAUUCAAGAAUAUGAUGAACAUUCAUACAUUUUCUGGAAAAUCAUUGCACAACAUGUCCUAGAAUUUCUAGUUUGAUCCUACAAGUAACAUUUUAAAACUAGAAAAUAUACAUUUCACAUCAGUGGACAAAAUAUCUGAAGGGAAAGCUAGCACGGUGGCAUUUUUGAAAUUUUAUUGAAGUUGGAUUUAUCUUUCACAUCCGUGGACCCAGGUAGCUGAGGGUAAAACUAAAUAGCCAAUAACAUUUCCCAUCGGUGGAUUUUUUAAAUGAAGCGAAAACAAAAGCGGUGGCAAUUUCGCAAUUUUGCCUAAACUUCUCUUAACCAAUAGAAAAUGUUUUUUGUAGAUCUCAGAUCCCCUUUCUCUUAACCCUUCUGCUAAUAAUCUCACUCAUUGAAAGCCAUUGUUCUCACUCCUCAAAUCGUCGUCGUUCUCAACGUUUCAUCCAAUUGUGAUGUUGUUUUCACUCAAUCGAUGUCGUUCUCGCCGUUUCUCGUAUGGGUUCUCGUUGUCAGUGGAAGAAAAGCUCUUCUCCGGUAUGUUUUCACAAAGUAAAUGGGUUUUCAUACUGUGAUUUCUUGUUAACCCUAAUUUUUAUGAAUUUUUCAGGUUCUGAAAAUAUGGGUUUUCACUACAAGUAAUUUCUUGUUAACCCUAAUUUUUAGGAAUUUCUUGUUGUUGUUUACUCUCUCUCUCUCUCUCUCUCUCUCUCUCUCUCUCUCUCUCUUUAUGAAUUUUGCUUUGUUGAUGAUCUGCCCUUUUUAAUCGGCUCACUGUUGUAAUAUUUUCCCCAUUUUUCUUUCAUUGUUUUUCUUCCCAAUAUAUUGAUAGAGGGAGCUAACUAUUCAGUUAUUGUAAUCAUUCAUUGUAUAUUACAUUUUUAUGUAUAUAUUGUUAUUUAUUUUUCUAAUUUAGGUUGUAUCCAUGUUCUGUCUUUAGCUAAUGUAUGGUAUAUAACUAGCCAAAUGGAAUUCAACAGUAGUGGAGGUCUUUAUUCUGUUGAUAAUCUCGUGUCUCUCUAAUGGUUCUUGAAUGCAUGAUUUUUUAGUUUAAAGUAUUUUGUCUAUCUACAAACCAUUGAAAUGAUAUCAGUUACUGCUCUUAUUUUAGUCUUAUCCCUUCUUUGUUUUUUGUUUGCAUUUUGUUAUUUUAACAUUGAAAGUGUGGAUUGAUCAUGCUCUAGUAAUUAAUUUCGUUAGUCAUAAAUUGUUAUAUACACUUUACAGGGUUUAGUCUAAUGGUUGGAAGCUAUAAAACUUUGGUUGUGAUUAAUUUAAAGAUGAAGUGAGGUGCUAGACAUUAGUGCUUAGUCUAGUGUGAUAUAUAUCAUGUUAAUGAAUUCUAUUAGAUAUAUAGCUAAAUAUUUUUACGAAAAGUUCAUAAGUAAUUAUUUUUUGAGUUUAAUGAUACUGAAAUGCCAAUUCAACAUGGUAUAGCAGUUAUACACAUAAUCUAUAGUUUUUGUUAUUUGAACCUUGGUCAUGGUCACUUGUAUGAUGUUUACAAGGAAUUUUAUUUGUACAAUUUGAAUGAUUUUGAGAGUACAUUUUAUAGCAUGUUUUUAUAUCUUAAAUGAAGGAUCUAGUUGUCUAAUUGUUAAUUGUUAAAAUGAUGAAGGUAAGAAUUUAUAGUUGAUGGAUGCAUGUUUCUGGUGGUGUUCAACUUCAAAGGGCCUCAAUGGGUUAAAAUGGCACACAAUAGUUAAAAUGUUUAAGUACAAUGACACACUUGCUGUAUAAUGAUGAUGCAGUAGCAGCAAGGUGAAAAGACUCUUGGAGUCCACUUAAAUCAACAAAAAGAAGGAGAAAAGUGUGCAAGAGACAUAAAUGUGGAGUAAAAGGAGCUGAGGGUUCAAAAUGGUUGAAACAAUUAUUGUAGUGAUCAUCAAAUACUGCUUGUGGAUGAGAGUGAUUUCUCCUUCUCCCUUUGCAUAUCCAAAUUAAAGCUUUUGCUUCUACUGACCAACAUUUUGUCUUUCUUCACUUGACAACUAUUGGUCUCUUUCUAUCUUCUUUUCUCUACUUUUUCUAUAUAAUAAAAGUAAGUUGCAGAGUAAUUUUUUUUUGUUCAUAUGAGUUUGUUCCAUUUCAUUUAUGUAGUCAUUUUUUUUAAUUGUUUAUUAGUCUACGUGACCCUCCCUUUUGUAUUUUCUAAGGGGUUAACCCCAACAUCAAAAUGUCCUCUGAAAUUUGGUUAAGUAAUUUAUCGAUGGUUACAAAAUGAAUUAGGUUUCUUUAGUCAAAAAUGAAUAGGUUUUUGUUACUUACAAAGUUGAAUAUUUCCUACUGUUUUCUAUUUCCUAUAUAAGGUUGUAUAUUCAGAACUUUGGUAUGGUUUUUUCUAGUCAUUGAAAAUUGUGUAGUUCGUGUUGUGUGUGCGCGCACGCACACACACAUAGGUUAGACCUGUGAGUAGGCUAAUGUGCACGGAGAGAAAAAUCUUUGACCAUUAACCCAUAUACAGUCAAGAUUAAAAGACUUUUAUUUAGUUGACACAACUUUAAAUUCAUAUUAUUUUCUAUGUUUAGAUUCAAUGGAAAAGAUUUUACUCCUCCUUUCUACACAUGUAAAAUUACUCUCACUUGACAGCGAAAGAUGGGAUGUCAAAACAAAAGUCUUUUCAUUUGUUGUGCUGGACAGGAGGACUAUUAAACUUCAAAUUAGUAAGUUACUAAGUGAAUUAAUGUGUAAUUUAAAAUAUUAGAACAACUUUGUUUUUGGUUCUGUUAUUUUUAGGCUAGGCUAUUUAGUAAUAAGUUACUAAAGUUUAAUUUUUAGGCUAUUUUUGUAGAUUGUUUGUACAACUUGUUAAUUUUAAUUUGUUUGAACAAGACUGUAGAAAAGGCUUUGAUAGUUGUUUAUAUGUUAUUAGAAUUAUUCAUCUUGUUUGUUAUUGUUAUAAUGUGUUAUGUUUCAAUCAACUUGGAGGGUUAUUGAAAUUUGCUGUAAUUAUUGGCAUAGUUCCUUAAUUUCGCUACUUGUUAUAUUUCUCGUACUGUGCUGAAUCCUUUCCCUUUCCAGUGAACUUAUACUACUCUUUGCUGAAUACCUCUAUUAAAUUUGACUGAAUUUAUGUGACAACUAACAACACAACAUUGUAUCUGAAGUUGCAAGGAAAACGAUACAAAACAAAGUUAACAAGAGAAUUCAAUUGCAUGCUAGUUGUAACUUUUUAAAGUUGAUGGAUUAAGUCUACCAAGUACAAAAGAACAUGUAUAAGAACUAGAACUUGCUAGAUAUAUUUACUUUUAGUAACAUCAGUAUUUUGGAUAUGGUAAUGUGAUGUACUUCAAUUUUGAACUGUUAGAUAAUUUGUAGUUAAUGCAUAAUAGCAUGUUUGUUAAUCACAGUGGGUAAGGACUAAGAACUUAACAAAUUAUUUUUUACUUUUAAAUAACUAAUUUAUUUUGGAUAAUUUAUGUUAUGCAUGUAUUGUAUAUCAUAAGUAAAGUAAAAAUUUUGGUUUUGGUAUGGUAUAAAGAAAAAGAUUAGAUCUCAUAUGGUAAUGCAAGUUAAAAAAAAUAAGCUUAAAUAUUGUAUUUUUUAUAAAAUAAAAAAAGUAAAGAUUUCACAUCUAGUUAAGCCUGUAUGCAGAUAGGGAAAAAUAUUAUUUUUUUUAUUUCAAAAAUAUUGGAUUUCCCAUCGGUGGAUACAUUUAUUGCCGUAGUGAAAACCCCCCAUGUGCUGCUCUUAACGACGCUUAUCACAUCAGUGCUAAAUAACCCCGAUGUGCAAAAAUAUAUUUCUACAUCGGGCAAAUACCCGAUGUGAAAUGGGGUGGACAAACAACAUCACCUUUAGUCACAUCGGGUUCGGGACCCGAUGUGAGAAUUUGAAUUCCACUGAUGGUAGAAAUGUAAUUUUUGUAGUAGUGCAACACCUCAGAAUCUGGUCAGGUUGUUCGACCAAAGAAAAAGAAACCCAUGAAAAAGCAUACACAAGUCACCCCCGCCCCCACCCCCCCCCCCCAUCUUGUGUGUUUUUCUUCACCUUUAAUUUUUGUUUUUUAGAAAGUAUAAACUUUUUACAAAAAAUGUCCAUCUUCUCCCUCAAUUGUUUUAGUCGAAAAAGAUAUUUUUUUGGGGGCAAUUUUUUAGCAUGUUUUUACUCUUAUGCAUUUCGACAGGCAAGAAGAAAGUCAAGUUUACAAAAUUAUCUAAGUCCAAGAUCAGAGCAGGAAGCUUUCAACAAGGUUGGUUUUCAACGGAUUCUUUGAUUUUCAACCCAAUUCAAAUCCUUCCCGAAAAGGAAAAAUCAAAUGUCCUAACACAUUGAAGGCAUGUUAAAGUUGUCGAAAAGAUGUAGUUUUUAGCCGUUAGUCUGUUAGUUAUUUUCUCUUAUGUAUAUAUAGUAGUUUUUCAUAGGGAAAACAAGUGACAAAUCAUUAUCAAAAGUUCUUACACAAGAAUUAUCCAGGAACACAGAGAGAAAAGAGUCAAAAUGUAUCUAACAUGAUUUGAUGUACCAUUUCCAUUUCAGCAAUGCAAUUUACUUUCUUUUUAGUUUAUUUGCCUUUAGAAUUCUAAGUCUUUUAGUUUUGAAUCUUCAAACACAUUGUUGAUUC
RNAcentral lists this long non-coding RNA (5218 nucleotides) under Medicago truncatula (barrel medic). Its description in RNAcentral is "long non-coding RNA (MTRU_LNC003200)". The record is from RNAcentral. Lineage: Eukaryota; Viridiplantae; Streptophyta; Magnoliopsida; Fabales; Fabaceae.